AAUCUUCCACAAUGGACGAAAGUCUGAUGGAGCAACGCCGCGUGAGCGAAGAAGGUUNNNGGAUCNUCAAGCUCUGUUGCGAGNGACNAACAAGUACGGGAGUAACUGCCCGUACCUGGACGGCACCUCGUCAGAAAGCUACGGCUAACUACGUGCAAGCAGCCGCGGUAAUACGUAGGUGGCAAGCGUUGUCAGGACUUAUUGGGCGUAAAGCGCGCGCAGGCGGUCCUUUAAGUCUGAUUUGAAAGCCCACGGCUCAACCGUGGAGGGUCAUUUGAAACUGGAGGACUUGAGUACAGAAGAGGAAAGCGGAAUUCCACGUGUAGCGGUGAAAUGCGUAGAGAUGUGGAGGAACACCAGUGGCGAAGGCGGCUUUCUGGUCUGUAACUGACGCUGAGGCGCGAAAGCGUGGGGAGCAAACA
This 422-nucleotide ribosomal RNA is filed under the name uncultured bacterium. RNAcentral describes it as "partial 16S ribosomal RNA". It matches the Rfam family "Bacterial small subunit ribosomal RNA", at positions 360 to 774 of the family's 1533-position model. The record is from RNAcentral.